RNAcentral lists this unclassified non-coding RNA (881 nucleotides) under Hevea brasiliensis (rubber tree). The record is from RNAcentral. Lineage: Eukaryota; Viridiplantae; Streptophyta; Magnoliopsida; Malpighiales; Euphorbiaceae.
GUUGAAUGGUAUUGAAUUUUUAUUUUAAAACUUUAAGAUUUGGAGUUUAAACCCCCACUUGCAGAUAAAUUAAAAUGAAAAAACACAUCAGCUAGCUGCAAUUAAUACAGCAUCGAUAGAUCACUAACAAUUCUAAUAUUGACAUAGCUCAAAGUCUGGUAAUGAAAUCUGUUGGAGUCUCAUAACGGCUAAUUACAAAGAAUUGAAGGAAAAUAUAUAGCAAAAGAGAUCUAAACUAAAUUGACUCAAACCAUUUUGUUGGAGACAACCCCAAGCUCUUUAAGCACUUUGAUACAUCUUAUUUACUGCAAAUUGAUCAUAACCCAGAGGACCUUUUUUCCCUGUAACUACAAAUAAAAUUGAUAGAAGAGGGAAGUUCUUGCUGCUGAUCAUAAUAAUAAAAGAAAAAUUAUAAAUUAAUUAAAAUGGAAGAAUUAAGAAAAAGGGGUUGAAAUUCAACACCUACUUCCUAUCCUUAAACGUUGAGAAGUUGAUUUUUUUUGACCCUCAGCAGCAAGUGAUUGACGAGCUGAUGCAAUUCCAUCAGGGGCUAAUAACUUGUCGAAGGAAGAACAAUCAAUCCAAUCCUUAAGAAAAUCUUCAUGACCCCAAGUAUCUGGAAUCACAACUUGACCAGCCACCUCUUCUCGAUGCUUCUUUAAUCUUUCACGUCCAGAAUCACAGGCUUCAUUAACACGAUCGCUAGGAGCCAAAUUAACUACUGAUGAGUUGUUUGUUUCUAAGGAAAAUGCAGAAAUCUGUUGGGGUGAUCCCAUAAUAGAAUUUUUGUGGUUUAUAGCAUUCCUGGGCUCUUUUGCGUGGAUGACAAAUGAUAAUGAGUACCCUCCAUCAUCCUCCCUCAAUAAUGGUGCAGGAGAAAG